CAGAUGUAACACCCCUUCUUGGAGUGUCACAAGAAAUUUUUCCAAAAUACACUUUUACAUUUAAAAUCACACAUUUAUUAAUAUUAUACAAUGAGAACGUCAAAGUUUUCAAGAGUAAUUAUUGGAAUACAAACCAACUCUUAAAAGUAGAUUAAAAUUACAAACCACAACGUUUCAUAAUUUAAAAUACAUAAUUAAAAGUCCCAAAGAGUGUUUCCCCAACGCAUCCUCGCACUAAACAUCUUCAGUUUUACCUGAAACAUCAUCUACUCCCGUAUAACAACACGAGUUAUACGAUCAUCGUAGACACACAAGUAGGGUGAGCUAACCGAAUACAAAAAAGCACAAGUACAGAUAAACUUACUUACAGACUUUAAAUAUUUAAUAAUAUUAUUAGUGUAUUAAUAAGAUUAUAUUAUCUCUCAUCUCUUACUCGUAAUAAUUGGAUUUAUCUCGGUUCUUCUUGUUCACACACACAUAUAACAAAACUAGUCCCUCAUAUAGGCCGCAGAUAAGAGUCAUCCUAAGCACACUGCUUUUGGACAUAUCUCCCUGGUUCUACAAGGACUUACGAGUAAAAACAUUGGUGAGUAAUAUCCAUUCACCAAGCACAAUACUCAGCACAAGUCAGAACCCUUGGCGAGAUAUCUGUACCCUUUUGAAAGAGGAAAAUUAACAGGACUCGAAUCCACCUAUCGCCUUACAUAGGCAAAAGGAAAUCAUCCUUUUUAAAUAUCGAGAUAAAUAUAAAUCACCCCAAUGAUACAUGACAAGCCUAGGAAAUGAAUAAGGAUUAUUUAUUAAACUCAAAGAAUCAUACAUUAACUUGAAUUAAGUCUAAAAACACGUUCAAAAUGACGUGUUGUUUAUUUUGAUCUUUACUCACUGUUUUAUUCGUAACUUUCUCUACAGUGUUCCAAAUGAAGAAAUUCUUGUUUUGUUGAAUUCUAGACUCUAAAAUCUUUCUCUUAAGACCAAACUCGUAAUUUUUGGGAUCACAAGAUUAACUACAGUAAAAUAAUUAAAAUUGACAUUUUUCUAAGUUUACUAUAUGGGUUUACUAUCAAUCUCUCUUUGAUUCAAUUUCUAGCAGUAAUUGAAACAUUAUUCAAAGGAUACAAGUAACAUGUUUUUAAAAUAAUUCAAUAAAAUGAAUUAUAGAAGAUAUCAAGUAAUAGCCUUCUAGGCUUUUAGUAAAAUAUGCAAUAGUAUUUUUUUUUAGUAAAAUAUGCAAUAGUAUAUAACAUUAUAUAUUUGAGAUAUCAAAAUAAAGAAUUACCGGUUAUUCAAAAUAAGCAAGUCUAGCAACUUUUUCUAUAAAAAAUUAUAUAUGAAAUAUAAUAAAAGAUAAACCAACAACCCAUACUAUUUGGAACAAAAGCUGUUGUAUCAAAAAUUAAUUAUAAUUGGGCAGCAAAUGAAUUAAAUAAUAUUUCUAUAAUUUAAAAUUUCAAGGUAGGUUUCUCUGCUUCACGUGAUUUCUCUUCAUCAUAGACAUGUAUUAUUUGAUUUUUGGAUAGACUCAAUAGUAUGACAUGUUGCAGCCUUUAGAUAUAAUAAUAAUAAAGAGUAUGUAUGAUUUGAAUUUGUGACAGCAAAAAUAACAAAAAUGAUGGGUAUAAUUAGAUAAUAAGAGAAUCUGGUAUAAUGAUAAAAGGGAAAUAAACACAAAAAUUCUGCUACUUUGGAAAGAAAAGAGCUCACGGUUUCCUGCAGAGAACAUGAGUAGUAAAGAAUUCUGAAUAAUAAUUAAGUAAUAAUACCCAAGAAAUAAUCCUACAAUGGAAAUUAAUUAAGUUCCAUUUCGGUAGACCUAUAAUAGGGAAUAAAUGAAAGAUUACAACAGUCUAAAGUGGGAUGAUUAUCUUUCCUUUCUUCUCAUUCUUCAAGAAAGCGUAACAACAAUUUACUGACUCCUACAGAGCUGUGAGGUCAAGUUUUUUUCAGAGUCUUAUAAAACCAUUAAGCAUUUCAUUAUGUAUCUCACAGAUUCAUGAGACAAGGCAGAAAAAUAUGCGACGGCAAUAUCAAGCAACAACCAAAAGAUUUCAGAUUUACACUACAAGGUAUUCAUACAAUCUAGAGAAAGGUUUAACUCCCCUACCUCAAUCCAGAAAGCUUUGCUACCUCUCUUGCUCUACUGUUACUUUCUUGAAGGAUCUAUGCCUCUAUGAGACGUUCAUAAAAUUUUCAGUUCACUCUUCUAUAUUUUUUAUUGUUUU
This 2222-nucleotide long non-coding RNA is filed under the name Vigna radiata. RNAcentral describes it as "long non-coding RNA (VRAD_LNC016457)". The record is from RNAcentral. Lineage: Eukaryota; Viridiplantae; Streptophyta; Magnoliopsida; Fabales; Fabaceae.